RNAcentral lists this ribosomal RNA (450 nucleotides) under uncultured organism. RNAcentral's name for it is "partial 16S ribosomal RNA". It matches the Rfam family "Bacterial small subunit ribosomal RNA", at positions 333 to 799 of the family's 1533-position model. The record is from RNAcentral.
ACACUCCUGCGGGAGGCAGCAGUGGGGAAUAUUGGACAAUGGGCGCAAGCCUGAUCCAGCCAUGCAGCGUGAGUGAUGAAGGCCCUAGGGUUGUAAAGCUCUUUCACCGGUGAAGAUAAUGACGGUAACCGGAGAAGAAGCCCCGGCUAACUUCGUGCCAGCAGCCGCGGUAAUACGAAGGGGGCUAGCGUUGUUCGGAUUUACUGGGCGUAAAGCGCACGUAGGCGGACUAUUAAGUCAGGGGUGAAAUCCCGGGGCUCAACCCCGGAACUGCCUUUGAUACUGGUAGUCUUGAGUUCGAGAGAGGUGAUUGGAAUUCCGAGUGUAGAGAUGAAAUUCGUAGAUAUUCGGAGGAACACCAGUGGCGAAGGCGGCUCACUGGCUCGAUACUGACGCUGUGGUGCGAAAGCGUGGGGAGCAAACAGGAUUAGAUACCCGGGUAGUCCCAUG